RNAcentral lists this transfer RNA (97 nucleotides) under Drepanopeziza brunnea f. sp. 'multigermtubi' MB_m1. RNAcentral describes it as "Marssonina brunnea f. sp. 'multigermtubi' MB_m1 tRNA". It matches the Rfam family "tRNA". Rfam says of the family: Transfer RNA (tRNA) molecules are approximately 80 nucleotides in length. Their secondary structure includes four short double-helical elements and three loops (D, anti-codon, and T loops). Further hydrogen bonds mediate the characteristic L-shaped molecular structure. tRNAs have two regions of fundamental functional importance: the anti-codon, which is responsible for specific mRNA codon recognition, and the 3' end, to which the tRNAs corresponding amino acid is attached (by aminoacyl-tRNA synthetases). tRNAs cope with the degeneracy of the genetic code in two manners: having more than one tRNA (with a specific anti-codon) for a particular amino acid; and 'wobble' base-pairing, i.e. permitting non-standard base-pairing at the 3rd anti-codon position. Lineage: Eukaryota; Fungi; Ascomycota; Leotiomycetes; Helotiales; Drepanopezizaceae. The record is from Rfam by way of RNAcentral.
GCGUCUGUGGUUUAGUGGUAAAAUCCAUCGUUGCCAACUCUGAGCGAUCAGAAGGUGCAGCUUCGAUGGGCCCCGGGUUCGAUUCCCGGCGGACGCA